CUUCCAGAGGGAAUCCACCGCGUGGAUAAUUCUGUCCAGGCGCUGGUCUCAUCAUUCUUGGCAUAGCUCCAGCCAGGCUUGUCAUUUUUGGUUAUAUGUCCCAAUAUUAGAUCCAAGUGGCUGUUGCAGAUUGCCAGAUGCCCCUUCCUGCCUGGGUACAGGCUAGCUCGCCCUGUUGCUCCCUGGGUGCAGGCUAGCUCGCACUGUGGCUCCCUGGGUAGAGACUUGCUUGCCCUGUGGCUCCCUGGGUAGAGGCUUGCUCGCCCUGUGGCUCCCUGGGUGCAGAGCAGAGGGUGCAGUGAGGCAGUGUGCUGGCAGUCUCCCUCAGACAGCUCCUUGUUGU
Non-coding RNA from Pelobates cultripes (western spadefoot toad), 343 nucleotides. The record is from the annotation of a GenBank genome assembly. NCBI's taxonomy places the organism in Eukaryota, Metazoa, Chordata, Amphibia, Anura, Pelobatidae.